RNAcentral lists this long non-coding RNA (1224 nucleotides) under Ictidomys tridecemlineatus (thirteen-lined ground squirrel). Its description in RNAcentral is "lncRNA (ENSSTOG00000029270.1)". The record is from RNAcentral. Lineage: Eukaryota; Metazoa; Chordata; Mammalia; Rodentia; Sciuridae.
GGGUCAGAUAAUCAGAAACACUUGGGAGUAUCAGGAGUUUAAAAAUCAUAAGUCAAAUGAGAUUUUGAGAUUUCUAAUUUUUAAAAAUUUUUGUUUCUUCUGGAAACCUGACAUUUACACCUCCAUGAAUCCCCAUAUUCCAAGUUGUGAAGAUAUUGGCUAGAUCAUCGGCUGUGAGACUUACUGAGACCUGCAACCAGAGUCCUUCCACCCUCCUGGAUGCCCAACAGGCAUCUUAAUCCCUCCGUCUCUGCAGAUGACAUCUCCUGUUGUGCUCUUACUGGAGCCAAAUUCUUCGGUGCUUCUCUUGGCUCCUGGCUCCAGCUGUCAACGUUUCAAAUAGAAUAAUGAAGUUCAGAGUCACCGCUCUGUGCUUCCCAUGGCCUUGAGAAGUCGGCUUCCAGGACGGAGGUGAUGAAGGCUGACUUGGCAAGGGGCUGGGAGGUUCUGCUCGAACCUUCACAAGCAGACUGGAGCUGAGGUCACAGACAGACUGCGCAGGUACCAGCGUCCUUGAUUUUCCAGCUUCAAAGUGAACGGCCUCUGAAGUAGGGGGACAGUCACACCUGCCUUGCUGCCGUUGAUUUCUGCCUUCCUGGCUGCAGACUCAACAAGACAACAAUGAGUCUGUUGACAUUUUCAAGGCCACAUUCAUAAACCAGCCAUGGGAAGCCUCUCUCCCCCUUUCUUUCAAAGUGAACAUGAAAACGUUGUGUACCCAGUAAGAAUUCAGCAACGAACUCAACUCCUCGGAGAUUGGAUCUUAAGUUCAGAUGCUUUAUGAAUCAGACACUAUGACUGGUUUCUGGCCCCUGAAGCCUGCCUGAGAAGUGGACUACGUAUUACCCAGAAGCCUCUGGAACCUGUCAAGGAUGAUCUUCUGCUGUUACUAUCAGCUCCAUCCACCUCACUUUCCUUCUCCAGGCAAAAGCAGGUGCUGGUCGUGGUGAGCCAGAUGUGUCAGACUCAAAGACAAGUGUCAUAUGUUUGCUCUCAUAUGUGGAAGCUAGAGAGGAAAAAGGGAAAAGAAAGUUCUCACAAAAAUAGAAAGAAGACUGUUAGGGCAAAAGAAGAGGAUCAGGGCAGGGAGGAGAGAUACAGGACAGGGGACUGAAAUUAGUUAAAUUGUUACAUGCAUAUAUGAAUAUGCCACAAUAAAACCCACUAUCCUGUAUAAUUAAUAUGCACCAGUAAAAUGUUUAAUUAAAAUAAUAAAGUAAAACC